GCUCGGACGAACGCUGGCGGCGCCCUAACCAUGCAAGUCGAACGAGAGAUGAGGAGCUCGCUCUUCAAAUCGAGUGGCGAACGGGUGAGUAACGCGUGAGAAACCUGCCUCAAAGAGGGGGACAACAGUUGGAAACGACUGCUAAUACCGCAUAAGCCCACGGCUCGGCAUCGAGCAGAGGGAAAAGGAGCAAUCCGCUUUGAGAUGGCCUCGCGUCCGAUUAGCUAGUUGGUGAGGUAAUGGCCCACCAAGGCGACGAUCGGUAGCCGGACUGAGAGGUUGAACGGCCACAUUGGGACUGAGACACGGCCCAGACUCUUACGGGAGGCAGCAGUGGGGAAUAUUGCACAAUGGGGGAAACCCUGAUGCAGCGACGCCGCGUGGAGGAAGAAGGUCUUCGGAUUGUAAACUCCUGUUGUUGAGGAAGAUAAUGACGGUACUCAACAAGAAAGUGACGGCUAACUACGUGCCAGCAGCCGCGGUAAAACGUAGGUCACAAGCGUUGUCCGGAAUUACUGGGUGUAAAGGGAGCGCAGGCGGGAGAACAAGUUGGAAGUGAAAUCCAUGGGCUCAACCCAUGAACUGCUUUCAAAACUGUUUUUCUUGAGUAGUGCAGAGGUAGGCGGAAUUCCCGGUGUAGCGGUGGAAUGCGUAGAUAUCGGGAGGAACACCAGUGGCGAAGGCGGCCUACUGGGCACCAACUGACGCUGAGGCUCGAAAGUGUGGGUAGCAAACAGGAUUAGAUACCCUGGUAGUCCACACCGUAAACGAUGAUUACUAGGUGUUGGAGGAUUGACCCCUUCAGUGCCGCAGUUAACACAAUAAGUAAUCCACCUGGGGAGUACGACCGC
Molecule: ribosomal RNA, 851 nt
Filed under: uncultured bacterium
Lineage: Bacteria
Description: bacterial SSU rRNA
Rfam family: Bacterial small subunit ribosomal RNA
Source: RNAcentral